UAUUUUACCUCCAAAAAUACUACUGGGAAGAAAUAGAAAUGAAUUUGGACAAAUUCAUGAAUAACAUGGUUAGAAAAAGCUUUUCAGAAAGUUAACAAGAAGGACAUGUGGCCAGAGAUGAAAUAAUCGAGAAGUUGCUAAGGAUGCUCUCACACACAUCCUAAAUAUCAGUGAAGCUACAUGGAGUCCUGGUUCAUAAAGAUUUCCCUUAAAAUGUCAAAGUUUGAUUCUUAAAAUAAACAUCCUUGUGUGAAA
Homo sapiens (human) is the source of this 255-nucleotide long non-coding RNA. RefSeq lists it as uncharacterized. Lineage: Eukaryota; Metazoa; Chordata; Mammalia; Primates; Hominidae. The record is from RefSeq and is a predicted model, not a curated record. The transcript is spliced from 2 exons.